GGGUUAGUCUUGUACGACCAGCUCCUGUUGAAUCCCCCAGGAUCGGAAGAUAGCAAGGGUAGACGGUUGUAGCGGUGCGAUGCAAGUAGCUAACCCGUU
Molecule: signal recognition particle RNA, 99 nt
Filed under: Crocinitomicaceae bacterium
Lineage: Bacteria; Pseudomonadati; Bacteroidota; Flavobacteriia; Flavobacteriales; Crocinitomicaceae
Description: signal recognition particle sRNA small type
Rfam family: Bacteroidales small SRP
About the family: The non-coding component of the signal recognition particle in Bacteroides
Source: RNAcentral